AGUGAACGCUGGCGGCAGGCCUAAUACAUGCAAGUCGAACGGCAGCACAGCAGAGCUUGCUCUGUGGGUGGCGAGUGGCGGACGGGUGAGGAAUACGUGGGAAUCUGCCCAGUCGUGGGGGAUAACGUAGGGAAACUUACGCUAAUACCGCAUGCGCCCUUCGGGGGAAAGCCGGGGACCUUCGGGCCUGGCGCGAUUGGAUGAGCCCACGUCGGAUUAGGUAGUUGGUGGGGUAAAGGCUUACCAAGCCUGCGAUCUGUAGCUGGUUUGAGAGAACGAUCAGCCACACUGGGACUGAGACACGGCCCAGACUCCUACGGGAGGCAGCAGUGGGGAAUCUUGCGCAAUGGGCGAAAGCCUGACGCAGCAACGCCGCGUGCGGGAUGACGGCCUUCGUGGUUGUAAACCGACUUUCAGCAGGGACGGAAAAUAGACGGUACCUGCAGAAGAAGCCCCGGCGUAACUACGUGCCAGCAGCCGCGGU
Molecule: ribosomal RNA, 484 nt
Filed under: uncultured bacterium
Lineage: Bacteria
Description: bacterial SSU rRNA
Rfam family: Bacterial small subunit ribosomal RNA
Source: RNAcentral